AGUCUUCACAGGACUAACAUUUUCUUUUAUACUGGUAAACAGGAAUGGCCCCUGUGAACAAUCUAUAGCCAUUCAAUCAAGGGGACAGAAUGAGCCAGGGCAAUAAGGGGUAAGAAGUUAAAAGAGGAUGAGGUUUCAGGAGAGACUACAGGGACUAGAAAUGUACAGAAAAUAUCUGGCCUUAAGAUUAGCCCCGAGUCAAGCGGAGAAUGGUCUCUUUUAUCCCUGAAAAGAGGGAAUGCACUGAGCAGAUAAUGGGAAGUCAAAAACUGUGCUCCUAUUCCUAUGAACUCUCAUUACUGCAAUUUGAGCAGAUACGGAGUCUCCUCUAAAAACACUCUAUUUAUCAACUGAAUGUGCUUAACCCCGAGAGGUUUCAUAACAUGAAGAUCUGUCGAUGGUGGAGGGUUUGGGAGGAGCCACUGAACUCAGAAUAGAGGUGAUGCUUCCGAGAAAAGGUUCCUUUUUUUCCACUUGACAAAAGGAUAGGACACAUGCAGUUUCGAAGCCAUAUCACACGAUGACAGCCAUACUCAGCACGUAGUCGCUGUGAGGCACAUACAGGGAAGAAUUCAACCUGAUACCCUCACCAGGUGAGAGGUAUGGAGACCCAGUGGAUUUCAGCUAAGAGAUAUCUUUUCUGAAGGGCAUACUUGGCUUGUGUCUGCAACUGAGUAAAUCUGAAAUAUCCCACUUCUACCAAUGAUUACGUAAGGUUGCUGGCCUGUUUCCUCAUCAACACCACAGAGGAAAAACAUUAGCGAGGAAGGAAAAGUACUAAAGCAGAAGAUAUCUAUUCCUUAGUCUGUUAAAAGGGACCUACAAUCAACUGAUAUGCCAGGAAAUUUACAUCUCCGAAUGAUUCUUUAUCAUAAACUAUUCUUUUCCCUGUGGUCUCUACUUUGGCAAGCAGUGUGACAAAUAUGUUUCACCUUUUCCCAACCAACCACCUGGUGGUCAUCCUUCCUUCCUUCUACCUUUGCUCUUCCCAGUGAACCACCAAAUUCUCCACAUGUGAGUCCUUGAGAACAGGGAUUUUGUCUUAUUUGCUCCUCAACCCCAGUGACUAAAACAAUCCCCAGCACAUAGCAGGCACUCCAUACAUAUUUGUUAUAUAAAUGAAUAGUGCAUAGUUACCACCCCAUAACCAUCUGCUAAAUGAAGGACUGGAUGCUUUAAGCUGCAUUCUCACAAAACAGGAAGAACAUACAAAUUAUUCUCCUUUACUUAAAUGUUUCUAAUAAUUUCUUCUUAUAAAUAAGAAUAUUAAAUCAUAUGAUGCAGUUUUGUUUUCUAUCAGAACAACAGGACAUUAUGUGUUUUGUUAGAAUGUUCAAAUGUUAGUCUUCUGGCUGUUGAGUUUCAUAGUUAAACAAGAAGUUUUUCAGUCUUCAGACUUUAUAAAAAUCUGUAAAAUCCCUCUAUUCAAGUUAUACUUAACAAGGGGUCUUCUGAAAUGUGCGUUGAGAAAAUUGGAAACAACUUAGUGACUCAAAAGAAUAAUAUUUCAUAAAAUCCUAUGGAGUAAAAAGCCAGAUCCCAUGGGGCCACUCACUGGGUGUAUUAGGCAAUUUCAGAAAACAUUUUCAGAAAACUUCUUCAGAUAUGCUGUAUGCUACUUGGUGGACAGAAGUAACUUGUCAUAUGUUGCCCACGACGUUUGAGUGGCUAGCCUCACUUUUCAAUUAAAACGUUUUUAUUUGAAUUGGUUGUAGUAGAAUAGGGUUCUAAAGGACUGAUGUGCACUCUUGCUAGAAAGUAUGUGGCCUUGCCUUUUACUUUGUAUCAAGUCUGUAGUCAAAUCAGCUUGCAUUGCUUUGCUUCAUAAAAAUAGCAUAAAAUGUGCUACAAAUAAUACAAAUAAAUAAAAGGAAAGUACAUUCAUGCCCGCAUCUGUGUUUGACUUGCAAAAUAAAAGACUUCAUGAAA
Molecule: non-coding RNA, 1929 nt
Organism: Macaca mulatta (Rhesus monkey)
Lineage: Eukaryota; Metazoa; Chordata; Mammalia; Primates; Cercopithecidae
Source: RefSeq, a predicted model, not a curated record